Molecule: ribosomal RNA, 456 nt
Filed under: Phyllopezus pollicaris
Lineage: Eukaryota; Metazoa; Chordata; Lepidosauria; Squamata; Phyllodactylidae
Description: partial 16S ribosomal RNA
Rfam family: Bacterial large subunit ribosomal RNA
Source: RNAcentral
GUAAUCACUUGUCCUCUAAAUAAGGACCCGUAUGAACGGCUAAAUGAGGGCCUAACUGUCUCCUGUGGCCAAUCAAUGAAACUGAUCUUCCAGUAAAAAAGCUGGAAUAAACCCACAAGACGAGAAGACCCUGUGGAGCUUUAAAUUAAUAUACUACCUACACCACCCUUUCUACCCACAAGGCCCAACAACAAUAAUAGUAGUAUAAACUUUAAGUUGGGGCAACUACGGAACAAAGAAAACCUUCCAUGCAACAGGAUAUACCAUCCAUUAAAGGACCACAAACCAAAAAUAUUUAAUUAACCGACCCAGUAAUACUGAUCACCGAACCAAGUUACCCCAGGGAUAACAGCGCCAUCCUCUUCUAGAGUCCCCAUCGCCAAGAGGGUUUACGACCUCGAUGUUGGAUCAGGGCCCCCAGGCGGUGCAGCCGCUGCCAACGGUUCGUUUGUUCAA